AGAGGAGCCAAGCGUUGUCCGGAUUGACUGGGCGUAAAGCGCACGCAGGCGGACGCGCGCGUGGGGUGUGAAAUCUGGCCGCUUAACGGCCAGGCGCCAUCCCAUACGGCGGGUCUGGAGCCUUGCAGAGGUCGGUGGAAUUGCCGGUGUAGUGGUGAAAUGCGUAGAGAUCGGCAGGAACACCCAGGGGGAAACCAGCCGACUGGGCAAGUGCUGACGCUGAGGUGCGAGAGCGUGGGGAGCGAACCGGAUUAGAUACCCGGGUAGUCCACGCCGUAAACGAUGGCCGCUCGGCCUUUGGGGGCGGAAUCUCCGUCCGUGGGGGCCUUAGCAAACGCGGGAAGUGGCCCGCCUGGGAACUACGAGCGCAAGCUUA
RNAcentral lists this ribosomal RNA (376 nucleotides) under uncultured bacterium. Its description in RNAcentral is "bacterial SSU rRNA". It matches the Rfam family "Bacterial small subunit ribosomal RNA", at positions 527 to 896 of the family's 1533-position model. The record is from RNAcentral.